UCAGGACUCAAUAAAAUAAACAGCUGGAAAUAAGCAGACUACUGUAAGAGUGAAUUGAAAAGAAAACCCAAGGUCACAUCUCCCAAGAAGCAGUAAUGUUCCAGCAAUAAGAAAAGGACAGUUUUUUGUCUUUUGCAUGGUGAGCCUUAUAUGAAUUACAUCAAUUUUGUCACCAAUAUCCAUCAUCAGAUCAUUCUGAUUCUACAUAACACAUUGCAAAUGGUCACAACAAUCAAGACUACACCCAUAGAUGUCCCAGAAAUAAUAUCCGACUAUACAGAGCAGCAUUACCAAACCACCAAGAAGUCUGCCUAGUAGUAACAGUGAUAACAACAGCUAACACUUAUCAACAGAGCAGAGGAACAGAGCCACAGAUAACUGAAAACCACUUUGGCACUGAGGAGGUCUGCAGACAAGAUCUGGAAGGGAAUCUAGAAAAAUGACAACUUUGGAAUAAUGGAUACCUUCUGUUUUCUUAUUGCUUUUAUUUUUGUCAUGAUAAAUGUUAAGGGUAAAAAGAAAAUUCACAUUGUUUGUGCCUAUGUGAACAGUGGUACUCAGUCAACUUAGGUUUUACUCAAUAGCAUGUUGUUAAUUAAUCUUCCAAAUUGUUGGGGUAUUUUAUAUGAAGUAGCCCCUACCCCUACCUUGUCCUUUUCCCAGACUUGAUUCCUAGAUAAUCACUUCCAUCAAUUACGAGAUAAUCACUUGCCUUACUGACAGACUCAGAGGAAGCGAUCAGUUUUUUGGGUAGAAUGAAGGGACAAGUAGCGAACUGGCAUCCGGGAUGCUGCCUAGAACGCUGUCCAUUUAAGAAGACACCCAGGUGAUACGCAAUGCACAAAAAGCAUGGAACUCCCAGCAGGCAAGCACUGCAGUCUGUAAACCCUCUAUUGAGGAAGGCCAUGGCAUGUCUACCAGGGACACAGAUUUGGGAGGCAGAACACAGACAGGGUGAGGGUGAAAGGCAAUGGCUACCUGGCCACGUCAGCCGAACCAACUCCAAAAAUCAAUGCGAUGACAGUGGCUACGGGCAGCUCACUCUCACGUUAUAACCUGGGAUGGCAUAGGCCAGACAGAUUAUUUCAUUUUGUUUUGUUUUUCAUUAUUUUUAUUUACUUUUUUGAA
Long non-coding RNA from Rhinopithecus roxellana (golden snub-nosed monkey), 1128 nucleotides. RefSeq lists it as uncharacterized. The transcript has 4 exons. Lineage: Eukaryota; Metazoa; Chordata; Mammalia; Primates; Cercopithecidae. The record is from RefSeq and is a predicted model, not a curated record.